This 335-nucleotide unclassified non-coding RNA is filed under the name soil metagenome. RNAcentral's name for it is "partial contains 5.8S ribosomal RNA, internal transcribed spacer 2, and large subunit ribosomal RNA". The stretch from base 1 to 119 matches the Rfam family "5.8S ribosomal RNA", at positions 36 to 154 of the family's 154-position model. The record is from RNAcentral.
AUGAAGAACGCAGCGAAAUGCGAUAAGUAGUGUGAAUUGCAGAAUUCAGUGAAUCAUCGAAUCUUUGAACGCACAUUGCGCCCCAUGGUAUUCCGUGGGGCAUGCCUGUUCGAGCGUCAUUUACCCCCUCAAGCUCCGCUUGGUGUUGGGCGUCUGUCCCGCUUCGCGCGCGGACUCGCCCCAAAGGUAUUGGCAGCGGUCGUGCCAGCUUCUCGCGCAGCACAUUGCGCUUCUCGAGGCACCGGUGGGCCCGCGUCCAUCAAGCUCACCCCCCCAGUUUGACCUCGGAUCAGGUAGGGAUACCCGCUGAACUUAAGCAUAUCAAUAACGGAGGA